GACGAACGCUGGUGGCGUGCUUAACACAUGCAAGUCGAACGGAAAGGCCCUGCUUUUGUGGGGUGCUCGAAUGGCGAAAGGGUGAGUAACAAGUGAGUAACCUGCCCUUGACUUUGGGAUAACUUCAGGAAACUGGGGCUAAUAACGGAUAGGAGCUCCUGCUGCAUGGUGGGGGUUGGAAAGUUUCGGCGGUUGGGGAUGGACUCGCGGCUUAUCAGCUUGUUGGUGGGGUAGUGGCUUACCAAGGCUUGGACGGGUAGCCGGCCUGAGAGGGUGACCGGCCCCAUUGGGACUGAGAUACGGCCCAGACUCCUACGGGAGGCAGCAGUGGGGAAUAUUGCACAAUGGGCGGAAGCCGGAUGCAGCGACGCCGCGUGCGGGAUGACGGCCUUCGGGUUGUAAACCGCUUUCGCCUGUGACGAAGCGUGAGUGACGGUAAUGGGUAAAGAAGCACCGGCUAACUACGUG
RNAcentral lists this ribosomal RNA (468 nucleotides) under uncultured bacterium. RNAcentral describes it as "partial 16S ribosomal RNA". It matches the Rfam family "Bacterial small subunit ribosomal RNA", at positions 28 to 507 of the family's 1533-position model. The record is from RNAcentral.